RNAcentral lists this ribosomal RNA (492 nucleotides) under uncultured bacterium. RNAcentral describes it as "partial 16S ribosomal RNA". It matches the Rfam family "Bacterial small subunit ribosomal RNA", at positions 29 to 507 of the family's 1533-position model. The record is from RNAcentral.
AAUGAACGCUGGCGGCAUGCCUAACACAUGCAAGUCGAACGGCAACACCGUGCUGGCUGGCUCUUUGGGUUGGCGAGGGGCGGGGGAGAGAAGAGUACGUCGCACUGCACUUUGGCGUGGGCUAUAUCGUCUGGACACUUACCCUAAUAGCACAUACUACCAAUGCGUUAGAGGGGGAGAUUUUCGGGUCUUGCCUGAGCUAGUGACCCGAUGUCGUAUUCGCUAGUUGGCGGGGUAAAGUCCCACCGAGGGGACGAUCUGUAGCGGGUCUGAGAGGAUGAUCAGCCACACUGGAACUGAGACACGGUCCAGACUCCUACGGGAGGCAGCAGUGGGGAAGAUUGGACAAUGGGCGCAAGCCUGAUCCAGCCGUGCCGCGUGGAUGAAGAAGGCCUUCGGGUUGUAAAGCGCUUUUGGGGGGGAAGAAAAGCAUAAGGUUAAUACAAGGUUUUUGUGACGGUACCCAAAGAAGAAGCACCGGCUAACUUCGUG